CCUACGGGAGGCAGCAGUGAGGAAUAUUGGUCAAUGGGCUUACGCCUGAACCAGCCAAGUCGCGUGAGGGAAGACUGCCCUAUGGGUUGUAAACCUCUUUUGUCAGGGAGCAACGCCGGCUACGUGUAGCCGGACUGAGAGUACCUGCAGAAAAAGCAUCGGCUAACUCCGUGCCAGCAGCCGCGGUAAUACGGAGGAUGCGAGCGUUAUCCGGAUUUCUUGGGUGUAAAGGGUGCGUAGGCGGAAUGCCAAGUCAGCGGUAAAAUCGCGGGGCUCAACCGCGCUCCGCCGUUGAAACUGGCGUGCUUGAGUGGGCGAGAAGUAGGCGGAAUGCGUGGGGGAGCGGUGAAAUGCAUAGGUAUCACGCAGAACUCC
Molecule: ribosomal RNA, 375 nt
Filed under: uncultured bacterium
Lineage: Bacteria
Description: partial 16S ribosomal RNA
Rfam family: Bacterial small subunit ribosomal RNA
Source: RNAcentral